AACGAACGCUGGCGGCAGGCCUAACACAUGCAAGUCGAACGAUAUAGUGGCAGACGGGUGAGUAACGCGUGGGAACGUACCUUUCACUACGGAAUAGCUCUGGGAAACUGGUGGUAAUACCGUAUACGCCCUUAGGGGGAAAGAUUUAUCGGUGAAAGAUCGGCCCGCGUUGGAUUAGCUAGUUGGUGAGGUAAUGGCUCACAAAGGCGACGAUCCAUAGCUGGUCUGAGAGGAUGAUCAGCCACACUGGGACUGAGACACGGCCCAGACUCCUACGGGAGGCAGCAGUGGGGAAUCUUGCACAAUGGGCGAAGGCCUGAUGCAGCCAUGCCGCGUGAAUGAUGAAGGCCUUAGGGUUGUAAAAUUCUUUCGUCAGGGAUGAUAAUGACCGUACCUGAAGAAGAAGCCCCGGCUAACUUCGUGCCAGCAGCCGCGGUAAUACGAAAGGGGCUAGCGUUGUUCGGAAUUACUGGGCGUAAAGCGCACGUAGGCGGACUUUUAAGUCAGGUGUGAAAUCCCGGGGCUCAACCUCGGAACUGCAUUUGAAACUGGAAGUCUGGAGAUCAGGAGAGGUUAGCGGAAUACCGAGUGUAGAGGUGAAAUUCGUAGAUAUUCGGUGGAACACCAGUGGCGAAGGCGGCUAACUGGACUGAUACUGACGCUGAGGUGCGAAAGUGUGGGGAGCCAACAGGAUUAGAUACCCUGGUAGUCCACACCGUAAACGAUGAGAGCUAGUUGUUGGCAGGCAUGCCUGUCGG
Molecule: ribosomal RNA, 758 nt
Filed under: uncultured bacterium
Lineage: Bacteria
Description: bacterial SSU rRNA
Rfam family: Bacterial small subunit ribosomal RNA
Source: RNAcentral